RNAcentral lists this long non-coding RNA (1863 nucleotides) under Canis lupus familiaris (dog). RNAcentral describes it as "lncRNA (ENSCAFG00040011994.1)". The record is from RNAcentral. Lineage: Eukaryota; Metazoa; Chordata; Mammalia; Carnivora; Canidae.
UGCUAAAUGGGAAAGAAGAGAAUUAGUAGCGGUAACAAAGAAUUCAUUUUCAUGCCAGAUAAAAUAUUGGAUGCCAAAACAUGUUAACACUUCGAGUUGUUAAAUAUCCAUCUAUCAGUUACCCAGUAGAGAUUGGCAGGCAUUUUUAUUAGGCAUUAUUAAACAAUUCUCUGAAUUUCUACGCUUGUGGUUGUCUACUCAUAUAAUGUAGAAAACUAAGACAGAAAUACUACAUAAAUAUCUUUUACACAAGUGAAAAACACUGAAAAUUCUAAUUAGUACAGUAAUUUACACAUUUUCCUUUAUCUUGGAUUUGUCUGAAGCUGAUUUAUAAAAAUUUCUUUACAUGCAUCUGAUCCGUUACUUUUUUUUUUUUUUUUUUUUUUUUAUGAUAGUCACACAGAGAGAGAGAGAGAGGCAGAGGGAGAAGCAGGCUCCAUGCACCGGGAGCCCGACGUGGGAUUCGAUCCCGGGUCUCCAGGAUCGCGCCCUGGGCCAAAGACAGGCGCCAAACCGCUGCGCCACCCAGGGAUCCCAAUCCGUUACUUUUAAAAUAAGGGUUUCACAGUCAUUGAAGAGGGAAGACAGAGCAAAAAGUAAGUGAUACAAGAACCCAUAAUGUCAAAUAAACAAUGCGGUUGGAGCUAUCAUGGGUCAGAAGCAGCUUAGAGAGGUCAGGUAGGGCUUCAUGGAGGAAAUGGACUCAUGCUGUUUCUGAAAGAAUGGCUAAAUAGAGAAGAAUGCUGUGGUCUGUCCCUGGGAUCCCAGGAACCAGUCGAGCUGGGUAAAGGAUGAUCUGCUAUCCUCAACAAAAAGUACUUGCUGGCCUUCCUCCACUAUGUGCCAAAAGAGCACCUGGAAGCCUUAAAAAUGCAACCGUUGUAACAACUGAGAUGAGAUGAUGUGUGAAGAAAGGCAGCCGGAUGUGAAUCACCGACUCCACAUGAGCCAUGGACUUUAAGGCCAUACCUAAUUCAGAACAAAGUACAGUCAGAGCAUCUGAGGGAGGAACACCAGGCUACUCUAGUCAUUUAGAGCUGGAAGACGUGGCCAUGGUUGAAGGUACUGAGGAGCGGGUCACUCAGGCCCAUGCUUGACCAUGCAGGGUAGUUCCAGAUCUGUAGUCAUUCCCUGACUGGCCACUGCACUAACCGGGACUUCCUCUAAGGUUGGAAUUUCAAAGGACAAUUUCACCAUAAACACUGUAUCUUUCUCUUCUCUUCUCUUCUCUUCUCUUCUCUUCUCUUCUCUUCUCUUCUCUUCUCUUCUCUUCUCUUCUCUUCUCUCUCUCCUCUCCUCUCCUCUCCUCUCCUCUCCUCUCCUCUCCUCUCCUCUCCUCUCCUCUUCUCUUCUCUCUUUCUCUUAUUUUCUCCUGAGAUUAAAGAACUUGGAACAAUCUGGGUUUUAAUUUCCUCAAUAGUGAAAUGAAGAUGUUGAACUACAGUAUCACCAUAAACUCUCUUCAUCAUUUUUCUGCCAUAUUGGAAUUAUUCUCCAUGUUCUUCUGAACGCUUUCUUCUCAUUGGACCAUUGGACGUGAUCAAGAUUGUCCUUGAGGAGUGAAAGUAAAAUUUAGGAGGACAAUGAGAACAAAUAUUAACAGAGCACAACCACUUGCAUAGGGACUUUGUGGUGACCCCGAGGAAACUAUGAAGUUCCUUUAAAAAAAAUUUUUUCGAGAUGCUAAAGCUGUCUUCCAUAAAUCAGAUGACUGGCUAAAGUGAUAUAUCACCUCAAAAGUGUACAUAAGAAACAAAGUAAUGUGAAGAUAAAAUCAAUAUUAUUAAACUGGAUGGACCAAGAGACUCAGAUCUUUGUAGUUCCUCACUUGGUGAUAUCUGUGUUUUAUUUCACUGCACAAAA